RNAcentral lists this ribosomal RNA (1159 nucleotides) under Campylobacter jejuni. RNAcentral describes it as "bacterial SSU rRNA". It matches the Rfam family "Bacterial small subunit ribosomal RNA", at positions 357 to 1533 of the family's 1533-position model. Lineage: Bacteria; Pseudomonadati; Campylobacterota; Epsilonproteobacteria; Campylobacterales; Campylobacteraceae. The record is from RNAcentral.
GGGAAUAUUGCGCAAUGGGGGAAACCCUGACGCAGCAACGCCGCGUGGAGGAUGACACUUUUCGGAGCGUAAACUCCUUUUCUUAGGGAAGAAUUCUGACGGUACCUAAGGAAUAAGCACCGGCUAACUCCGUGCCAGCAGCCGCGGUAAUACGGAGGGUGCAAGCGUUACUCGGAAUCACUGGGCGUAAAGGGCGCGUAGGCGGAUUAUCAAGUCUCUUGUGAAAUCUAAUGGCUUAACCAUUAAACUGCUUGGGAAACUGAUAGUCUAGAGUGAGGGAGAGGCAGAUGGAAUUGGUGGUGUAGGGGUAAAAUCCGUAGAUAUCACCAAGAAUACCCAUUGCGAAGGCGAUCUGCUGGAACUCAACUGACGCUAAGGCGCGAAAGCGUGGGGAGCAAACAGGAUUAGAUACCCUGGUAGUCCACGCCCUAAACGAUGUACACUAGUUGUUGGGAUGCUAGUCAUCUCAGUAAUGCAGCUAACGCAUUAAGUGUACCGCCUGGGGAGUACGGUCGCAAGAUUAAAACUCAAAGGAAUAGACGGGGACCCGCACAAGCGGUGGAGCAUGUGGUUUAAUUCGAAGAUACGCGAAGAACCUUACCUGGGCUUGAUAUCCUAAGAACCUUAUAGAGAUAUGAGGGUGCUAGCUUGCUAGAACUUAGAGACAGGUGCUGCACGGCUGUCGUCAGCUCGUGUCGUGAGAUGUUGGGUUAAGUCCCGCAACGAGCGCAACCCACGUAUUUAGUUGCUAACGGUUCGGCCGAGCACUCUAAAUAGACUGCCUUCGUAAGGAGGAGGAAGGUGUGGACGACGUCAAGUCAUCAUGGCCCUUAUGCCCAGGGCGACACACGUGCUACAAUGGCAUAUACAAUGAGACGCAAUACCGCGAGGUGGAGCAAAUCUAUAAAAUAUGUCCCAGUUCGGAUUGUUCUCUGCAACUCGAGAGCAUGAAGCCGGAAUCGCUAGUAAUCGUAGAUCAGCCAUGCUACGGUGAAUACGUUCCCGGGUCUUGUACUCACCGCCCGUCACACCAUGGGAGUUGAUUUCACUCGAAGCCGGAAUACUAAACUAGUUACCGUCCACAGUGGAAUCAGCGACUGGGGUGAAGUCGUAACAAGGUAACCGUAGGAGAACCUGCGGUUGGAUCACCUCCUUUCUA